AUGCGCAGCUCGUGGGGCAUCCUCGCCGCCGUCUCCGGACACCUCACCGUCCGUCAAGCUUCAGCGGCUCCUGGUCACCACUCCCUCCCCGUGCGCACGCUCCAAACCCUAGCCCAGAGGGAGCCUGUGUGCCUCAAGAAGCUGUCGGCACCCGACACCGGGGUCCUGGAGCUGACGCUGCAGCGGCCAGAGGUGAAGAACGCCAUCAGUUGGGAGUUGAUGACAAGGCUGCGGGGCGCGAUCCACAAGAUUGAGGCCGACGCGACGGCCAAGGUUGUCCUUGUUGCGAGCUCCGUACCGGGAGUCUUCUGCGCAGGCGCCGAUCUCAAGGAAAGGAGGCACAUGAGCUCUUCACAGGUUAAAGAAUAUGCUAAUUCCUUAAGGUCUACAUUCUCGUACUUUGAGGCACUCUCCAUUCCAACAAUCGCCGUCAUUGAAGGAGCUGCUUUGGGUGGUGGGCUAGAACUUGCUCUGUCAUGUGAUCUGCGUAUAUGUGGAGAAAAUGCAACCCUUGGACUGCCAGAGACAGGCCUUGCUAUUAUUCCUGGAGCCGGGGGUACGCAGCGUCUUCCAAGGAUCAUCGGAAAGUCCAGAGCGAAGGAGCUGAUAUUCACAGGCCGCAGAUGCGACGCAACUGAAGCUGUCUUGAUGGGAUUAGCAAACUACUGCGUUCCAGCAGGGGAGGCCUACGGCAAAGCUCUUGAACUCGCCCGUGAGAUAACGAAGAAAGGCCCUCUGGGGGUAAGAAUGGCCAAGAAGGCCAUCGACCAAGGGAUGGAGGUAGCAGACAUGCGCUCCGCUUUGGCUGUCGAAGGGGAAUGCUACGAGCAGCUGCUGCACACGCAGGAUCGCCUCGAGUGCCUGGCUGCAUUCGCUGAGAAGAGGGAGCCCGUGUACACUGGAGAGUAG
Molecule: ribosomal RNA, 909 nt
Filed under: Triticum aestivum (bread wheat)
Lineage: Eukaryota; Viridiplantae; Streptophyta; Magnoliopsida; Poales; Poaceae
Description: partial small subunit ribosomal RNA
Source: RNAcentral